This 200-nucleotide unclassified non-coding RNA is filed under the name Ascomycota sp. RNAcentral describes it as "partial internal transcribed spacer 2". The record is from RNAcentral. Lineage: Eukaryota; Fungi; Ascomycota.
UUAAGUUCAGCGGGUAUCCCUACCUGAUCCGAGGUCAACCCAGAAUAAAAAUUGGGGUUGAGAGGCAGACAUUUAUCUGACAGAAGCGAUGAAGUUUCCUAGACGCUUGAAGCCAGGCAGUGUCGCCGUUGCAUUUGAGGUGUGUCCACCGGAAUGGACAGCACCCAAGACCAGGCCUACAAGUAGGCUUGAGUUUAGCA